Molecule: non-coding RNA, 651 nt
Organism: Callithrix jacchus (white-tufted-ear marmoset)
Lineage: Eukaryota; Metazoa; Chordata; Mammalia; Primates; Cebidae
Source: RefSeq, a predicted model, not a curated record
AUGACGCCCAGCCGGAAUGGCAUGGAAGCCCCACUUCCACAAGGUCUGGCAGCUGGCGCACGGCCACAUGGUCGAACCAGCCAGCCCAGAAGAUCCGCAGGUGCAAGGCCCAGUAAGCCAAAGCGUCCCCCGCAUUGCCCUGUGCCCUGCGUCGUUUCCCAUCCGGCCCAUCAUGCAGCACAGUCCGUAUCACACCAAGGUGUGCGCCGGCCGUGGCUGCAGCCUGGAGGAACUCAGUGGCUGGCAUUCACAAGAAGGUGGCCUGGACCACUGGGAUCUCUGUGGACCCAAGGAGGGGUAAUGAGUCCACGGAGCGAGUCCCUGCAGGCCAAGGUGAAGCGGCUGAAGGAGUACCACUUCAAACUCAUCCUCUUCCCCAGGAAGCCCUCGGCCCCCAAGAAGGGAGACAGUUCUGCUAAAGAACUGAAACCGGCCACCCAGCUGACAGAGCCAGUCAUGCCCCUCCCGAAUGUCUAUAAGAAGGAGAAAGCCCGAGUCAUCGCUGAGGAGAAUUUCAAAGCCUUCGCUAGUCUCCACGUGGCCUGUGCCAACACCCGGCUUGUCGGCAUACGGGCAAAAAGAGCCAGGGAAGGUGAAGAACGAGAUGUUGAAAAGAAAAAAUAAAGCCCUCUUGGGGACUUGUAAUAAAUC